This 153-nucleotide ribosomal RNA is filed under the name Echinops telfairi (small Madagascar hedgehog). Its description in RNAcentral is "5.8S ribosomal RNA (ENSETEG00000021357.1)". It matches the Rfam family "5.8S ribosomal RNA". Rfam says of the family: 5.8S ribosomal RNA (5.8S rRNA) is a component of the large subunit of the eukaryotic ribosome. It is transcribed by RNA polymerase I as part of the 45S precursor that also contains 18S and 28S rRNA. Lineage: Eukaryota; Metazoa; Chordata; Mammalia; Afrosoricida; Tenrecidae. The record is from RNAcentral.
GACUCUUAGGGGUGGAUGACUGGGCUGUUGCGUUAAUGAAGAAUGCAGCUAGCUGUGAGAAUUAAUGUGAAUUGCAGGACACCUAGAUCAUGGAGCCUUUGAAUGCACUUGUGGUCCUGGGUUCCUCCCCAGGCUACUCCUGUCUGAGUGUGA